AAUCAACGCUGGCGGCGUGCCUCAGACAUGCAAGUCGAACGCGAAAGUUCCCUUCGGGAGCGAGUAGAGUGGCGCACGGGUGAGUAACACGUAGGUAAUCUACCUCAGGGUGGGAAUAACAGGCCGGAAACGGCUGCUAAUACCGCAUAAUGCAGCGGCACCCACAUGGUGACAGUUGUUAAAGCGGGGAUCGUAAGACCUCGC
Molecule: ribosomal RNA, 204 nt
Filed under: uncultured bacterium
Lineage: Bacteria
Description: partial 16S ribosomal RNA
Rfam family: Bacterial small subunit ribosomal RNA
Source: RNAcentral